RNAcentral lists this ribosomal RNA (492 nucleotides) under uncultured bacterium. RNAcentral's name for it is "partial 16S ribosomal RNA". It matches the Rfam family "Bacterial small subunit ribosomal RNA", at positions 29 to 507 of the family's 1533-position model. The record is from RNAcentral.
AGUGAACGCUGGCGGUAGGCCUAACACAUGCGAGUCGAACGGCAGCACAGUAAGAGCUUGCUCUUACGGGUGGCGAGUGGCGGACGGGUGAGGAAUACAUCAGAAUCUACUUUUUCGUGGGGGAUAACGUAGGGAAACUUACGCUAAUACCGCAUACGACCUACGGGUGAAAGCAGGGGAUCUUCGGACCUUGCGCGAUUGAAUGAGCCGAUGUCGGAUUAGCUAGUUGGCGGGGUAAAGGCCCACCAAGGCGACGAUCCGUAGCUGGUCUGAGAGGAUGAUCAGCCACACUGGAACUGAGACACGGUCCAGACUCCUACGGGAGGCAGCAGUGGGGAAUAUUGGACAAUGGGCGCAAGCCUGAUCCAGCCAUACCGCGUGGGUGAAGAAGGCCUUCGGGUUGUAAAGCCCUUUUGUUGGGAAAGAAAAGCAGCAGGUUAAUACCCCGCUGUUCUGACGGUACCCAAAGAAUAAGCGCCGGCUAACUUCGUG